RNAcentral lists this long non-coding RNA (665 nucleotides) under Neodiprion lecontei (redheaded pine sawfly). RNAcentral's name for it is "uncharacterized LOC124292748, transcript variant X2". The record is from RNAcentral. Lineage: Eukaryota; Metazoa; Arthropoda; Insecta; Hymenoptera; Diprionidae.
AGUGUUUUAAAUCUUGUUAUUUUUAAUUCGCGCACCAUUCUAUUAUCGGUGUACCAAAAUAACCCAAAAGGCAGUGAUCUCGUGUUAAUUGUCGAGCUCAAAGACAAAAAUUACGCACUCCAUCUUUCCGGCCAAUUCGAGAUUCCAGCGACGAGGUGCUUCGAUGACCAACUAAUGACUUCGCCAUUUUGCGACAAUUGAUGUAUUCGAGGUAUGACCCGAGGUGGUUGGCGGUGGUCGGAAGUGUUUAAGGGAGGUUGCGGGGGAUCAAGGUGGAUGAGGAGAAGGACGAAAAGGAGGAGGAAGAGAUAGAUAAGGAGAAAAAAGUGGACGAAGAGGACGAGGAUAACGAGGAUUUCUGCACUUGAUCGAGGUAUAACCCGAGGUGGUUAGCCGUGGUCGUUAGAGGUGGUUGGCAGCGGUUGGAGGUGAUCGGAGGUGGACGAGGAGGAGGACGAGGAAGACGAGGAUUUGUGCUCGGUAUAACCCGAGGUAGUUCGCGGUGGUUGCGGGUGAUCGAGGUGGGCGAGGAGGAGGACGAGGAUGACGAGGACUUGUACACUGUGAGUAUAACAUUUUUAUUAUAUUCAUUAGAGUAGGAGUAGGAUCAGGAGUAGGAGUAGUGGGAGUUGAAGUAGAAGUGGUAGAAGUCGGAGUAGGAAUAG